This 73-nucleotide transfer RNA is filed under the name Candidatus Obscuribacterales bacterium. RNAcentral's name for it is "tRNA-Val". It matches the Rfam family "tRNA". Rfam says of the family: Transfer RNA (tRNA) molecules are approximately 80 nucleotides in length. Their secondary structure includes four short double-helical elements and three loops (D, anti-codon, and T loops). Lineage: Bacteria; Bacillati; Candidatus Melainabacteria; Candidatus Obscuribacterales. The record is from RNAcentral.
GGACGGUUGGCGCAGUUGGUAGCGCAUCACUUUGACAUAGUGGGGGCCGGGGGUUCAAAUCCCUCACCGUCCA